UACGGGGGGAGCAAGCGUUGUUCGGAUUUACUGGGCGUAAAGGGCGCGUAGGCGGUCGUGACAAGUCACUUGUGAAAUCUCCGGGCUUAACUCGGAACGGUCAAGUGAUACUGUCGGACUAGAGUACAGAAGGGGCAACUGGAAUUCUCGGUGUAGCGGUGAAAUGCGCAGAUAUCAGGAGGAACACCAAUGGCGAAGGCAGCUCGCUGGGACGGUACUGACGCUGAGGCGCGAAAGCGUGGGGAGCAAACAGG
Molecule: ribosomal RNA, 254 nt
Filed under: uncultured bacterium
Lineage: Bacteria
Description: partial 16S ribosomal RNA
Rfam family: Bacterial small subunit ribosomal RNA
Source: RNAcentral